UACGUAGGGUGCAAGCGUUGUCCGGAAUUAUUGGGCGUAAAGAGCUCGUAGGCGGUUUGUCGCGUCUGCUGUGAAAACUCGGGGCUUAACCCCGGGCCUGCAGUGGGUACGGGCAGACUAGAGUGCGGUAGGGGAGACUGGAAUUCCUGGUGUAGCGGUGAAAUGCGCAGAUAUCAGGAGGAACACCAGCGGCGAAGGCGGCGCUCUGGGCCGGUACUGACACUGAGGAGCGAAAGCGUGGGUAGCAAACAGG
RNAcentral lists this ribosomal RNA (253 nucleotides) under uncultured bacterium. Its description in RNAcentral is "partial 16S ribosomal RNA". It matches the Rfam family "Bacterial small subunit ribosomal RNA", at positions 524 to 776 of the family's 1533-position model. The record is from RNAcentral.